ACAGUAUGAGCAUUUAGCAUACUUUAACAGGAAAUGACAUUGUGUAGGAAUGCAUUAAAGAGAGCUUGAAUAUGAGUCGUAUAUAUACAAGUAUGAUCUAUACAUAGAUGUUACAUGCAAACUGAGUAUUUGAAUAAAUGAAAAUGGCUAUAAAAUUAUGCAGUUUGGUGGGUAAAGUGAUGAUUAUAUCUCGAUGAUUGUGUGAUAAACUAAAUGUGGAUAUGAUAAAUGAUUAUGAGUCGUAUAUAAUAAAGAGAGCUUGAAUAUGAGUUGUAUAUAAUACAAGUAUGAUCUAUACGUAGAUGUUACAUACAAAUUGAGUAUUGAAUAAAUGAAAAUGGCUAUAAAAAUUAAUGCAACUUUGGUGGGUAAAAGUGAUGAUUAUAUCUCGAUGAUUGUGUGAUAAACUCUAAUGUGGAUACGAUAAAUGCUUAUGACACUCACCUAGGUUGAGGGGUGAGGAUGAUCAAGGUUUACGAUGCCCAUAUAGGUUGAGCGAUGGUGGCGAUGCCCAUUUCCUUCUCUGUUUUUUCUCCAUUUUUUUUGAAAUUAAAACCAUCUGAAGCAGAGUGGAAUUGAGAGUAUUUGUGAGGAAAGCAUAAAGAAUAGUACGUGUAGCGCAGACCCGUGUCGAAGGGGAAGCCUGGUGCGAACAACGAAGGCAUUCUCC
This 670-nucleotide long non-coding RNA is filed under the name Carica papaya (papaya). RNAcentral describes it as "long non-coding RNA (CPAP_LNC005501)". Lineage: Eukaryota; Viridiplantae; Streptophyta; Magnoliopsida; Brassicales; Caricaceae. The record is from RNAcentral.